RNAcentral lists this long non-coding RNA (1009 nucleotides) under Cricetulus griseus (Chinese hamster). RNAcentral describes it as "lncRNA (ENSCGRG00000024407.1)". The record is from RNAcentral. Lineage: Eukaryota; Metazoa; Chordata; Mammalia; Rodentia; Cricetidae.
ACUUAUUUAAAAUUCACAUGUCCGACUUUCUUCCAGAUCCACUAAAUCAGUCCCGGCCAGAGGCGUUUUUUAUCAGGCUUCACCUGCGAGUCUCUGGCACAACUAGCUCUUCCUGAUGUGGCCAGCCGGAAACAGAAAUGGCGACUGGAACAUGAAAGAUGGGAAAACUCCUGAUGGCUAAUGGGAAGAGGACUUAUUCCCAGUACUAUGCAAGCUCUGGUCCUUUCAAGGCAGGGAUAGAGACAGCAGAAUGGAGUCAUCAACUAAAAGUGCUCGGGGAUCCAAGACUGGAGGGCAUCCUUCGGGAAGAAGACAAGAUGAGGAGGCUGCCUGAGUCUGGAGUGUCUUCAGCGCCUGAAGUCAGGAAGCAGGGAGACCUGGGAAGCAGCACCAGAAGAGACCCCCUCUUCUUACCAGGAAGAUGGGCAGUCUCUUUGCUACCUGGAAGAUGGGCAGUCUCCUUCCUACCAGGCACAGUUCCUUUUUGAGCCAAAUGCACAAUUUUACAACUGCCAUUCUCCCUACUGUCUUAUUUGUUUCACCCAUGUUAGGUCAGUGAGUUGUCUUUGAUGAAUGAAUGAAUGAAUGAAUGAAUGACCAAUGAGAUGAGGAGAUGAUUAGUGAGAGGUCAAAAGGACAGACCCCUAGAAGACAAUUAUAGGAAAAUGGAUUAGGCAAACCUAGUCUGUUCUCUUGUGUGCCGAUCUUAACGCCCUGUGAAGUCCUGGAGAAGAGUCCUUUCCCAUCACUUCCCUGAACACAGUGAAUGCAGACUGGAAACCUCUGGCCUUCUGCUACAGAACCAGUGAGGAGACAAAACAAUGUAUUCAUGUUCAGCUUCCCGGAUCGACUUUCUAUUCCUUUGGUCUCUUGUCUGUUUUCACGCAGAUCAAAGACUGCUUGUGAAAUGUUUUGGCCGUGGAAUAGAAUUUAAGAUUCACCAAGGGCAAGAGCAGACAUUAAUAAAAAAAUACCAUUUGGACCCUUUGGAACUGUGGGACCACUAUAU